GUGAAUCAUCGAAUCUUUGAACGCAAAUUGCACUCUCUGGUAUUCCGGAGAGUAUGCCUGUUCGAGGGUCAUUUCAAAUAAAAAUCUGUGUGGUUUCUGCCUUUCGUGCUGAUGGACUGGUUGUGGGUCGUGUUGCCUUCGGUUAAGGGACGUAAAGUUGUGCAUGAUUUUUUCGAACGUAUUUAAAUGAUUUUACGUACUUCUGCGGUGUCGAACACUAGGUGCGGUAAUCCUCAUGAUUCGCGCCAAUA
Molecule: unclassified non-coding RNA, 251 nt
Filed under: Glomus sp.
Lineage: Eukaryota; Fungi; Glomeromycota; Glomeromycetes; Glomerales; Glomeraceae
Description: partial contains 5.8S ribosomal RNA and internal transcribed spacer 2
Rfam family: 5.8S ribosomal RNA (bases 1-71)
Source: RNAcentral